RNAcentral lists this ribosomal RNA (253 nucleotides) under uncultured bacterium. RNAcentral's name for it is "partial 16S ribosomal RNA". It matches the Rfam family "Bacterial small subunit ribosomal RNA", at positions 524 to 776 of the family's 1533-position model. The record is from RNAcentral.
UACAGAGGGUGCAAGCGUUAAUCGGAAUUACUGGGCGUAAAGGGCGCGUAGGUGGUUAGGUAAGUUAGAUGUGAAAUCCCUGGGCUCAACCUAGGAACUGCAUCUAAAACUACUUAGCUUGAGUAUGAUAGAGGGUAGUGGAAUUUCCGGUGUAGCGGUGAAAUGCGUAGAGAUCCGGAAGAACACCGGUGGCGAAGGCGGCCUGCUGGCUAUGGCUGACACUGAGGCGCGGACAGCGUGGGGAGCAAACAGG